AAAAAAGUAAGCAAGGGCGUACGGAGGAUGCCUUGGCUCUCAGAGGCGAAGAAGGACGUGAUAAGCUGCGAAAAGCUUCGGGGAUCUGCAAAUAGGAAUUGAUCCGAAGAUAUCCGAAUGGGGCAACCCGUCACGCUGAAGGCGUGACAUUCCGACUAGUCGGAAAGCAAACCCCGGGAACUGAAACAUCUAAGUACCGGGAGGAAGAGAAAACAAUAGUGAUUCCCUGAGUAGUGGCGAGCGAAAGGGGAGAAGCCCAAACCUGUGUCGUUACGGCGGCAUGGGGGUUGUAGGACUGCGAUGUGAUAGUAUAAAAUGAAUUUGAAUUACCUGGGAAGGUAAGCCACAGAAGGUGAAAGCCCUGUAAGAGCAAGUUUUAUACGUCUAGCAGUAUCCUGAGUAGGGCGGGACAGGUGAAAUCCCGUCUGAAGCUGCCGGCACCAUCCGGUAAGGCUAAAUACUACUGAGAGACCGAUAGUGAACAAGUACCGUGAGGGAAAGGUGAAAAGUACCGUGAAUAACGGGGUGAAAUAGAACCUGAAACCGUGCGCUUACAAGCGGUCGGAGGGCUUAAGUGGCCUGACGGCGUGCCUUUUGCAUAAUGAGCCUACGAGUUACUCUUCACUGGCGAGGUUAAGGGUUUAAAGGCCCGUAGCCGGAGCGAAAGCGAGUCUUAACAGGGCGCUUAGUCAGUGGAGGUAGACGCGAAACCUUGUGAUCUACCCUUGUCCAGGAUGAAGUUGUGGUAACACACAAUGGAGGUCCGAACCAGUUAACGUUGAAAAGUUUUUGGAUGAGGUGAGGGUAGGGGUGAAAGGCCAAUCAAACUGGGAAAUAGCUCGUACUCCCCGAAAUGUUUUUAGGAACAGCGUGGGGUUUAUUCUAACGGAGGUAGAGCUACCGAUAGGACUAGGGGGAGUCACAUCCUACCAAAUCCUGACGAACUCCGAAUGCCGUUAGAUUUGCCCUGCAGUGAGGGUCAGGGUGCUAAGGUCCUGAUCCGAGAGGGAAAGAACCCAGACCUACAGCUAAGGUCCCUAAAUCUGUGUUAAGUUGAACUAAGGCGGUCCAGUUGCAGAGACAGCCAGGAUGUUGGCUUGGAAGCAGCCAUUCAUUUAAAGAGUGCGUAACAGCUCACUGGUCGAGCGACAGGGCAUCGAUAAUAAUCGGGCAUCAAACACAGUACCGAAGCUUAGGAUUUAUCCGCCAGACGGCGGAUGACUGGUAGGGGAGCAUUCUAUACAGCGGCGAAGGCGCCUGGUGAUGGGCGUUGGAGCGUAUAGAAAAGCAAAUGUAGGCAUAAGUAACGAUAAGGCGGGAGAGAAACCCGCCCACCGAAAGACUAAGGUUUCCGCGGCAAUGCUAAUCAGCCGCGGGUUAGUCGGGACCUAAGGCGAAGCCGGAGGGCGUAGUCGAUGGACAAUCAGUUAAUAUUCUGAUACUACCUUAUAUAGCGAAGGGGAGACGGAGUAGUGAAAGGUCCGCCCGGAGACGGAAUACCGGGUUAAAGGGUGUAGGUAUAGGGCUGGUAGGCAAAUCCGCCAGCUUUGCUGAACCUGAUAGUACCACAAUCCUACGGGAGCGUGGAUAGUGACCCUAAUCAGACUUCCAAGAAAAACCUCUAGUAAUGUAUAAGGUACCCGUACCGUAAACCGACACAGGUAGUUGAGGAGAGAAUCCUAAGGUGCUCGAGUGAUUCAUGGCUAAGGAACUAGGCAAAAUUGUCCUGUAACUUCGGGAGAAGGGACGCUUCUCCGCCGCAAGGCGGAAAGCCGCAGUGAAAAGGUCCAGGCGACUGUUUAACAAAAACACAUGGCUUUGCGAAAUCGAAAGAUGAAGUAUAAGGCCUGACACCUGCCCGGUGCUGGAAGGUUAAGGGGGGGACUUAGGAGCAAUCCGAAGGUCUGAACUGAAGCCCCAGUAAACGGCGGCCGUAACUAUAACGGUCCUAAGGUAGCGAAAUUCCUUGUCGGGUAAGUUCCGACCUGCACGAAUGG
This 1997-nucleotide ribosomal RNA is filed under the name filamentous cyanobacterium CCT1. RNAcentral describes it as "bacterial LSU rRNA". It matches the Rfam family "Bacterial large subunit ribosomal RNA", at positions 1 to 1999 of the family's 2925-position model. The record is from RNAcentral. Lineage: Bacteria; Bacillati; Cyanobacteriota.